Molecule: long non-coding RNA, 1291 nt
Filed under: Chinchilla lanigera (long-tailed chinchilla)
Lineage: Eukaryota; Metazoa; Chordata; Mammalia; Rodentia; Chinchillidae
Description: lncRNA (ENSCLAG00000027530.1)
Source: RNAcentral
GGAGCAUGAGGAGAGGAGUAGCUUAGCUUCAAGGAAAACCUAGGGAUGUGGGUGAUGUCAGAUUUUCACUUAGCAUGGCCGGAACCAGGAUUUUAAAGAUUUGGACCCUUCACUGUUUAAUUCCAGCCUCUCAACUUCACCCAGACACAUGCCUCUAUUCCAGGCUCAGAGCGCGUGCUGCUUGCUGAAAGCAUGGAUACGAGGGCUGUCUGCGGUUCCUACUUUCCCACUUCAGGUCUUCCACCGCUGGUUACCCCGCAUGGUGCCGGCCACUGCCUGUUUCUGUGAGUCUUCGCCAUACCCCCGCAUCAGGGCUGUGUGCUGCCUCCUCCUGAAGCCCUGCUGGAUCUCACAGCCCGCAGAGACCUGAGACCGCCCUGAUUUCACAUGCUUGCCGUUCGCUGCUGCUUUAGCGGAAAGAGCGUUCCAGCAUUCACCCAUCGCUCGCUCGCGUGGGAGAGGAGAGGUGAACGCAGUGUUCCUGACCCCACCUCAUUCUACCGUCUCUUCAGCUGUGAAGUUCCCUUGAGCAGAGCGUCUGACAGCUGGGAGCCUCCGCGGGCAAGGCCAUCCCUCGCCCCACCCCCGGGAGGAAACCGCCGCACCAUCGGAACAGCUGCCGUCCUGCGUUUGUCCAGAGCCCUCGGUGUGCUCCCCAUCCCAGAGCCAUCACGCUCUCCCCCACACACUGGGGAUUAGACUGGACGCGUGUGUAAUUUUACUUUGGUCGCUGGAAAACAUCUGGCAGAUGUUGUAGUCACCAUGAUAAGGACUACACAUUAUGCUGGGAGGAAAAUGAGGAAGAACGCUGGCUUCCAUUUCUACUCCUCUGCGAUACGGGGGUUUGGAUUUUAUGGUGUGACCUCUAUGCUAUCCACAUACAUAAACGUGAUUUUACAGGACACCCAGUUUCUAUCUGAAAUAAACACCUGGUUGAGGCUCUGUACACCCUGCUAGAGUAGGGGGACUCAAUAGUCAGGGGACCGCCAGCCCACUUUCCUGGAAAAAGGGCUCUAGGAGGACACACAGGAAUCUAGCAUGAGGGUCUAGAAAUAAAUCCUUUCUAAAUAGCUAGGCUCCAAAGCUGUCAGUUCAUUAUUAAUGGCUCAUUAUAAUACUCAGUUCAUUAUAAUACUCAGUUUUGUUGCCACUUUGUCAUUUGGUCACUCAGAUCCCCAGUUGCUUGACAUUCAGGUGGCUUCUAAUGUUCCUGUGUUUUAAAUUGUGACAAACACCUCUGCAGCAAAACCGUGAACCUCUCAUCCUCGUCUUCAUGUGUGCUGGUCUCCCG